Molecule: ribosomal RNA, 253 nt
Filed under: uncultured bacterium
Lineage: Bacteria
Description: partial 16S ribosomal RNA
Rfam family: Bacterial small subunit ribosomal RNA
Source: RNAcentral
UACGUAGGUGGCAAGCGUUGUCCGGAUUUAUUGGGUUUAAAGGGUGCGUAGGCGGCCCCGUAAGUCAGUGCUGAAAUAUCCCGGCUUAACCGGGAGGGUGGCAUUGAUACUGCGGGGCUUGAGUAGAGUUGAGGUUGGCGGAAUUGACGGUGUAGCGGUGAAAUGCUUAGAUAUCGUCAAGAACACCGAUAGUGUAGACAGCUAACUAAGCUCAAACUGACGCUGAGGCACGAAAGUGUGGGGAUCAAACAGG